GAUGAACGCUGGCGGCGUGCUUAACACAUGCAAGUCGAACGGGAAUUCUUUUAUUGAAACUUCGGUCGAUAUGAUUUAAUUCUAGUGGCGGACGGGUGAGUAACGCGUGGGUAACCUGCCUUGUACUGGGGGAUAACAGUCAGAAAUGGCUGCUAAUACCGCAUAAGCGCACACAGCUGCAUGGCUCCGUGUGAAAAACUACGGUGGUCUAAGAUGGACCCGCGUUGGAUUAGCUUGUUGGCAGGGUAACGGCCUACCAAGGCGACGAUCCAUAGCCGGCCUGAGAGGGUGAACGGCCACAUUGGGACUGAGACACGGCCCAGACUCCUACGGGAGGCAGCAGUGGGGAAUAUUGCACAAUGGGGGAAACCCUGAUGGAGCGACGCCGCGUGAAGGAAGAAGUAUCUCAGUAUGUAAACUUCUAUCAGCAGGGAAGAGAUUGACGGUACCUGACUAAGAAGCCCCGGCUAACUACGUG
This 478-nucleotide ribosomal RNA is filed under the name uncultured bacterium. Its description in RNAcentral is "partial 16S ribosomal RNA". It matches the Rfam family "Bacterial small subunit ribosomal RNA", at positions 28 to 507 of the family's 1533-position model. The record is from RNAcentral.